RNAcentral lists this ribosomal RNA (465 nucleotides) under Vreelandella stevensii. RNAcentral's name for it is "partial 16S ribosomal RNA". It matches the Rfam family "Bacterial small subunit ribosomal RNA", at positions 338 to 795 of the family's 1533-position model. The record is from RNAcentral. Lineage: Bacteria; Pseudomonadati; Pseudomonadota; Gammaproteobacteria; Oceanospirillales; Halomonadaceae.
CCGACGGGGUGCAGCAGUGGGGAAUAUUGGACAAUGGGCGAAAGCCUGAUCCAGCCAUGCCGCGUGUGUGAAGAAGGCCUUCGGGUUGUAAAGCACUUUCAGUGGGGAAGAAAGCCUUGGGGCUAAUACCCUCGAGGAAGGACAUCACCCACAGAAGAAGCACCGGCUAACUCCGUGCCAGCAGCCGCGGUAAUACGGAGGGUGCGAGCGUUAAUCGGAAUUACUGGGCGUAAAGCGCGCGUAGGCGGUCUGAUAAGCCGGUUGUGAAAGCCCCGGGCUCAACCUGGGAACGGCAUCCGGAACUGUCAGGCUAGAGUGCAGGAGAGGAAGGUAGAAUUCCCGGUGUAGCGGUGAAAUGCGUAGAGAUCGGGAGGAAUACCAGUGGCGAAGGCGGCCUUCUGGACUGACACUGACGCUGAGGUGCGAAAGCGUGGGUAGCAAACAGGAUUAGAUACCCCUGUAGUC